ACAACUAAGUACAUAAAUUUUUGCCGUUUUAUUUCAUCUUCAAGGCGUACAUCAAAGUGAUGCAAAGUGGUGUACCUGGUAUUGGAAUACAAAGAAGAUGAAGAUCAGUAGGAAGCAAUGCCAGCACACACACACAGCAACAACAGUUCAGCAACACAGGAGUAACCCAGUAAUAGCGGGAAUAACAAAAAACCUAGGAGACAGACCAAUAAAGAAGUAUCCAGUUGCCAAAAUGAACAAUAGUAAUUGAUGCUAAUUAUUAACAGUGAAAAAGAACAUAUUGUUUCUUUAACUUCUCUUUCAAACACUCAACAAUUCAGUCUUUUUCUUUCUUCCCUCAAGUGCUGAAAAUAUUUUC
Molecule: long non-coding RNA, 358 nt
Filed under: Nicotiana benthamiana
Lineage: Eukaryota; Viridiplantae; Streptophyta; Magnoliopsida; Solanales; Solanaceae
Description: long non-coding RNA (NBEN_LNC027175)
Source: RNAcentral